Molecule: small nuclear RNA, 36 nt
Filed under: Cervus elaphus hippelaphus
Lineage: Eukaryota; Metazoa; Chordata; Mammalia; Artiodactyla; Cervidae
Source: RNAcentral
AUGACUUCUUGGGCUUUUGGCUAAGAUCAAGUGUAG